GCCGGGAUAGCUCAGCUGGGAGAGCAACAGACUGAAGUUUCAAUUGGAUUCUGGAGGUCCCGUGUUCAAUCCACGGUCCUGGCA
Non-coding RNA from Pisolithus albus, 84 nucleotides. Lineage: Eukaryota; Fungi; Basidiomycota; Agaricomycetes; Boletales; Pisolithaceae. The record is from the annotation of a GenBank genome assembly.